CACCAUGCCAGGACUGCCGACCCGGCCCUGCUUCUACGAUAUAGAUCUUGAUACAGAAACAGAGCAAGUUAAAGGCUUGUUCUAAAUGAACCAGACUUCCACAGGACCCAGUGCAGGCUCCCAAAACACAAACCCGUCUUUUGCCUUCUUGCUGCCGUUGGAGAAGAAAGUGAAUUUGAAAUAUGCCGGUUACACAAUGCGGGAGAAAUGGGGAAAUAGACCAAAGACAUAUUCUCCGUUCAAGAAUUCUGUUUGCAACAGAGUAUGGUGUCCGGUAAAAGGACCUCCACCAAGUUCGAAAGAAAGUAAUUUAUUUUCCGUUUCUGCAGAGUUUACAUUAUUUCCCACUGCUUACACUGUAGAAUGUUUAUUUUAUGGGGACUGAGGGAUUAAAAGAGUGUGAACUAAAAGGUACCAUUUUCCACUCUGGAGUUUUCUAUUUUGUCUUUGAACUGAAAAUAAACAGGUAUCUAGAAAACCAAA
Lynx canadensis (Canada lynx) is the source of this 483-nucleotide long non-coding RNA. RefSeq lists it as uncharacterized. Lineage: Eukaryota; Metazoa; Chordata; Mammalia; Carnivora; Felidae. The record is from RefSeq and is a predicted model, not a curated record. The transcript is spliced from 2 exons.